This 497-nucleotide ribosomal RNA is filed under the name uncultured bacterium. RNAcentral's name for it is "partial 16S ribosomal RNA". It matches the Rfam family "Bacterial small subunit ribosomal RNA", at positions 28 to 507 of the family's 1533-position model. The record is from RNAcentral.
GAUGAACGCUGGCGGCGUGCCUAAUACAUGCAAGUCGAGCGAACAGACGAGGAGCUUGCUCCUCUGACGUUAGCCGCGCACGGGUGAGUAACACGUGGAUAACCUACCUAUCAGACUGGGAUAACUUCGGGAAACCGGAGCUAAUACCGGAUAAGAUAUUGAACCGCAUGGUGCAAUAGUGAGAGACGGCUGUGCUGGCACUUCUCGAUGGAUCUGCGCCGCAUUAGCUAGUUGGUAAGGUAACGGCCUACCAAGGCGACGAGGCGUAGGCGAACUGAGGGGGUGAUAGGCCACACGGGAACUGGGACACGGUCCAUGCUCCUACGGGACGCAGCAGUAGGGAAUCUUCCGCAAUGGGCGAAAGCCUGACGGAGCAACGCCGCGUGAGUGAUAGAGGUCUUCGGAUCGUAAAAAUCUGUUAUUAGGGAAAAACAAAUGUGUAAGUAACUAUGCACGUCUUGACGGUACCUAAUCAGAAAGCCACGGCUAACUACGUG